AGUGAACGCUGGCGGUAGGCCUAACACAUGCAAGUCGAACGGCAGCACAGUAAGAGCUUGCUCUUACGGGUGGCGAGUGGCGGACGGGUGAGGAAUACAUCGGAAUCUACUUUUUCGUGGGGGAUAACGUAGGGAAACUUACGCUAAUACCGCAUACGACCUACGGGUGAAAGCAGGGGAUCUUCGGACCUUGCGCGAUUGAAUGAGCCGAUGUCGGAUUAGCUAGUUGGCGGGGUAAAGGCCCACCAAGGCGACGAUCCGUAGCUGGUCUGAGAGGAUGAUCAGCCACACUGGAACUGAGACACGGUCCAGACUCCUACGGGAGGCAGCAGUGGGGAAUAGUGGACAAUGGGCGCAAGCCUGAUCCAGCUAUACCGCGUGGGUGAAGAAGGCCUUCGGGUUGUAAAGCCCUUUUGUUGGGAAAGAAAAGCAGCAGGUUAAUACCCCGCUGUUCUGACGGUACCCAAAGAAUAAGCACCGGCUAACUUCGUG
Molecule: ribosomal RNA, 492 nt
Filed under: uncultured bacterium
Lineage: Bacteria
Description: partial 16S ribosomal RNA
Rfam family: Bacterial small subunit ribosomal RNA
Source: RNAcentral